GAGAAGGGGAAUGAAGAAACAUCAACAUGAAGCUAACUUCAUGUUUGACUGACAGCAUUGAGGAGGAAUUGAAGAAGACCUUCCCAAAUGAAGGAGAAAGAGAACCAUUCAACGGGGUCAUCAAUACAUUUCCACUUGGCACAGAGGAGGAGAUGAGGAAGAAGGAGUGCGGAAAUGUCAAACUGCAGCUGACAUUUCUCAAGAGGAAGAAAAGAUGAAAACAAACCUCAAGAAACUCCUCCGUGAGCGUAAGAGAAGGAUCUCCAGCAGCCUGACAACAACAAUGGAGGAGACCAUGAAAGAAUGCUCUGACAGGAAGACAGAAGAUCACUACAGACAUAGAAAUACACCUCUACACAUUUUGAUGUCAACAUGUUUCUGUUUGAUGUAGGAGCAAAAGAAAUGAAAGGAGAAGGCACGCUGAAAAACAUGAGGGGAACGAUUGAAAUGCACGUUCAUGGUUCAAAAGACGUCAUGUUUGAUAAGGCUGAAGACGCCAUGAUGAAACAGCUGAGAGACCUGAUGCUUUGUCACAUUUGAUAUUUCCUCCUGCAGUCAAAUGAAACUAGGAACACUGCAACACAAACAUACAUGUGCACACAUGUCAGUGUUCAGUGAUCAAUAUUUCAAUGCUGAUUUAGUGGGAGAUCCCGGAGAAAGUGGAGAGCACGAUGCAGGAAUCAA
Trematomus bernacchii (emerald rockcod) is the source of this 684-nucleotide long non-coding RNA. RefSeq lists it as uncharacterized. The transcript is spliced from 3 exons. The record is from RefSeq and is a predicted model, not a curated record. Lineage: Eukaryota; Metazoa; Chordata; Actinopteri; Perciformes; Nototheniidae.